AGAGUUUGAUCAUGGCUCAGAAUGAACGCUAGCGGCGUGCUUAACACAUGCAAGUCGUACGAGAACUCUUUAGCUUGCUAAAGAUAGUAAAGUGGCGCACGGGUGAGUAACGCGUGGGUAAUCUACCUCUGAAUUUGGGAUAACUCCGCGAAAGCGGGGCUAAUACCGGAUAAUAUUUCAGAAUCUUCGGAUAUUGAAAUCAAAAGUGGCCUCUACAUGUAAGCUACUGUUUGGAGAUGAGCCCGCGUACCAUUAGCUUGUUGGUGGGGUAAUGGCCUACCAAGGCUACGAUGGUUAGCUGGUCUGAGAGGAUGAUCAGCCACACUGGAACUGACACACGGUCCAGACUCCUACGGGAGGCAGCAGUGAGGAAUUUUGCGCAAUGGGGGAAACCCUGACGCAGCAACGCCGCGUGAGUGAUGAAGGCUUUCGGGUCGUAAAGCUCUGUCAAGUGGGAAGAAUAUAAUAAAUGUUAAUAUCAUUUUUUACUGACGGUACCACUAAAGGAAGCACCGGCUAACUCCGUGCCAGCAGCCGCGGUAAUACGGGGGGUGCAAGCGUUAUUCGGAAUUAUUGGGCGUAAAGGGCGCGUAGGCGGUCUUUUAAGUCAGAUGUGAAAGCCCGGGGCUUAACCCCCGGAAGUGCAUUUGAAACUGAAAGACUUGAGUAUGGGAGGAGGGAAAGUGGAAUUCCUGGGGUGUAGGAGGGUGAAAUUCGUAGAUAUCAUGAGAAACACGGGUGGGCGAAAGGCGACUUCCCUGGACAAUACUGACGCUGAGCGCGAAGGGCGUGGGGAGCAAACAGAUUAGAUUACCCUGGUAGUCCACGCAGUAAC
This 835-nucleotide ribosomal RNA is filed under the name uncultured bacterium. Its description in RNAcentral is "bacterial SSU rRNA". It matches the Rfam family "Bacterial small subunit ribosomal RNA", at positions 8 to 806 of the family's 1533-position model. The record is from RNAcentral.